Long non-coding RNA from Pyrus x bretschneideri (Chinese white pear), 2090 nucleotides. RefSeq lists it as uncharacterized. NCBI's taxonomy places the organism in Eukaryota, Viridiplantae, Streptophyta, Magnoliopsida, Rosales, Rosaceae. The record is from RefSeq and is a predicted model, not a curated record. The transcript has 5 exons.
AUCACUGGGAGGAGAGUCGGGGGUCGUAGCCAGGUAACCGUCGUUGUCGAACGGGCGAGUUGAGCCGGUGGUCGGGACUGAGUCGUCUUCGGGCUGAGUGAACGAGGCCAUGAUCAAGUCAAGUGCACCGAUGACCGAAAUGCCGAGCGAAAUGCCCCCAAAGGCAAAACUCACGCAGAAAAAAUAUCGGCACGCUUUAUGUUGGGCUAGCCCGACUCAGUGGGCCUUCAUUGGGUUCGUAAGUUUAAUUCACUUCCCCCAAGCCCGUUCCUGCUCCUCAACUUCUUCCUUCCUGCUCGAUUUGGAUUGGAACGAAAAAGCUCCAACAUGGGAUCAAUUUCUUCCCCCUCACUGAUUAUUUAUUUCGGUAUUUCAUGCAUAUUGAUUUUUUUCAUUUUUAUUAAUUUUGGUUAUGUGAUUAGUGAUUUUUGUUCUUCAUUAUAUUUUGGGUUUUCCUUUCUGUUGUUUUUAGGGUUUUUUGCUCUGCAAAUUUCGAUCAAAUUGCCUCCAUUUGAAUUAUUUUGUAAUUAUCUUAAUCUAUAUUGGGUGGAAUUGGGCCUUUCCAUUCUCCAAAAUCUUUGUUAGGGAUUACAUUUUGCUUAAAUUUUGUGAGAUUAAAAAAAGAUUGGGACUUUUUUCUGAUUUUAAAUUAUUUACACAGUUCCAAAGCACUGCGUGUUAAACACUGGAAUUUUGAUUCGGAUUGUAGUAAUUUCCGUACAAGUUAAAACUUUUGUGUGGAAUUGGUGCAACUUUUGGGGUUUGUGUGAUGUUAUUUUGAUUAGUUGUUGACUAAAAUUUGGUUCUUUUGAUUUGGGUUUGGUUAAUUGAAUAAAAUUGUGGUUUAUGAUAUUGAAUCAAUGGAAAAUGUGACUUUCACAAGCUCCAAGCCUGUGUCAACCAUAGAGAUCUCAAUAUGUAUCUAAAAUUUGCUUCAGACACUGGUGGAAAAAUGUAUUUAACAUUUUACGUUCAUAUGCAUAGGCUCGACUUCUAAAAACGUGCAAAGCUGUGCUUCACAAGUUUACAAUGCCUGUCAAGUGCAGCACAUACAUUUGUGUUGUAUAAUUGUAUUCGAUAAGGAUAAUAGUAUCACUGCACCUUAUUCCUUGACACCUUGGCCUUCUUGAGUCGUCGUUGGAGCAUUGCAAAUCAGUUUUCCGACUCAAUAUCAUCGUGUUCAGUAAUUCGGCUAGUAAUUUUUGGCAUAAUCCAUUUGAAAAUUUUAGUUGUUUUUGUUGUUGGUUAUAUUUAUUUGUCAAAGUAAUGAUUUUGGUUUCAUGGUCAGCUCAUGAUGAGUAUGAUCAUGAUCCGUCAAAAGCUGGGGAGCUUGAAGUGGCAAUUUUGUUCUUAAAGUUAAUCAUCCACUGCUUCUUUGUUGAUUCAUGUUUGCUUCUCCAACUCUCUCUUGCAGUAGAACUACAUCUGCGAUCAAGCAGGCUCUUCGAGCUUCAGUCCGGGGCUUUCCCAGCUCGAGUUCUUCUUUCUCAGUACCCAGCUCUAGUCCUCAGGUGAGAAAACACAGAGAGCCAGCAAAGCUUCGUAGAGAGGAGGCAUGAGUUUCCUAUGAUGUGGAAUUAUCUACAAAAAAGGUUCUCAAAGGUGGUUACAGUGGGGACCAAUAUUCAGAACACAGUGGACAAGUCUUUACAAGCUAAUCCUACCGGCCCCUGGACUGGAUGUAUGGUUUGGUUUUAUAUCAGGAGAGGUGGCCGUCCCUUUGUUGGGAAGUGUUCUCGGCGUAUGUGAAGCUAAGGAACAUGUGGUCACAUUGGAGGAUUAUUCGGUUUUUGCUGUGGCGUUUUUCGUCUUUGUGAUGGUAUGGUACCAGUAUGAUUGUUUAUGGUCUCACUUAAACAUUAAGAGCAACUUCACCCCUAAAGACUUUGUGUCAGCAUCCAGCCCAUUUAUCCACUUCAGUGAACAGUAAUAGACCCUAAUAAACAAUAAUAGGCUAAAACAUCUCCACCAAAAAAAAAAUGUGCUGGCACAAACAAUCUUCACCCCUACAAAAUGUGUUAGCACCCAGUCAAUUUAAAAUAUUAAAUAAUUUUUUUAUAAAAUAAUAAAAAAAAAUAGUUUUAAUUUCA